This 427-nucleotide ribosomal RNA is filed under the name uncultured bacterium. RNAcentral describes it as "partial 16S ribosomal RNA". It matches the Rfam family "Bacterial small subunit ribosomal RNA", at positions 355 to 774 of the family's 1533-position model. The record is from RNAcentral.
UGGGGAAUAUUGGACAAUGGGCGAAAGCCUGAUCCAGCCAUGCCGCGUGUGUGAAGAAGGUCUUCGGAUUGUAAAGCACUUUAAGUUGGGAGGAAGGGCAUUAACCUAAUACGUUAGUGUUUUGACGUUACCGACAGAAUAAGCACCGGCUAACUCUGUGCCAGCAGCCGCGGUAAUACAGAGGGUGCAAGCGUUAAUCGGAAUUACUGGGCGUAAAGCGUGCGUAGGUGGUGUGUUAAGUUGGAUGUGAAAUCCCCGGGCUAAACCUGGGAACUGCAUUCAAAACUGACUGACUAGAGUAUGGUAGAGGGUGGUGGAAUUUCCUGUGUAGCGGUGAAAUGCGUAGAUAUAGGAAGGAACACCAGUGGCGAAGGCGACCACCUGGACUAAUACUGACACUGAGGUGCGAAAGCGUGGGGAGCAAACA